Molecule: microRNA precursor, 112 nt
Filed under: Polistes canadensis
Lineage: Eukaryota; Metazoa; Arthropoda; Insecta; Hymenoptera; Vespidae
Description: microRNA pca-mir-2765 precursor
Rfam family: mir-2765 microRNA precursor family (bases 7-89)
Source: miRBase by way of RNAcentral
ACACGUACUGCGUCGAGAAUUGGUAACUCUACCACCGUUGGCGAAUUGUGACUGUCAAUGGGGUAAGAGUUUCCGUCCCUCGGCGUUUAAAAUAUUUAUAUGUGGUGGUUAU